This is a long non-coding RNA of Gymnogyps californianus (California condor), 184 nucleotides long. RefSeq lists it as uncharacterized. The transcript is spliced from 3 exons. The record is from RefSeq and is a predicted model, not a curated record. Lineage: Eukaryota; Metazoa; Chordata; Aves; Accipitriformes; Cathartidae.
GAGCAACUGAAAGCUGGUCAUCAUCAAUUGCAGCAUUGUGAGGUCCCUUCUACCUAGAUGACUGGAGAACUGGUAGGGUGAUGAAGCAAGAAAUACUGUGCGAAUAAAGGCUGAUCCAUGGCUUACGGUUUAUACCACACAAAGGGUUGUACAUGUGCAGUGCACAGCCAGAAUGAUGUCCCAC